Molecule: ribosomal RNA, 328 nt
Filed under: uncultured bacterium
Lineage: Bacteria
Description: bacterial SSU rRNA
Rfam family: Bacterial small subunit ribosomal RNA
Source: RNAcentral
GGGCGUAGCAAUACGUCAGCGGCAGACGGGUGAGUAACGCGUGGGAACGUACCUUUUGGUUCGGAACAACACAGGGAAACUUGUGCUAAUACCGGAUAAGCCCUUACGGGGAAAGAUUUAUCGCCGAAAGAUCGGCCCGCGUCUGAUUAGCUAGUUGGUGAGGUAAUGGCUCACCAAGGCCACGAUCAGUAGCCGGUCUGAGAGGACGGUCGGCCACACUGGAGCUGAGACACGGUCCAGACUCCUACGGGAGGCAGCAGUGGGGAAUUUUUCGCAAUGGGGGCAACCCUGACGAAGCAACGCCGCGUGGGUGAUGAAGUAUUUCGGU